Bos taurus (domestic cattle) is the source of this 1703-nucleotide long non-coding RNA. The record is from Ensembl. Lineage: Eukaryota; Metazoa; Chordata; Mammalia; Artiodactyla; Bovidae.
GCUCGCAACAGGCACACCCUUGAGAAUCCCGGCCCCCUGGCACCAGGUCUGGCCUGAUACUAGGUUACUGGGGUGGCCCAAGCCCUGCGCCAAAAACCCCAGGCCCCCCCGCCCCACCCGGGGGCUUCGCGGAUUCCGACGGGCUGUGGUAUCCACCGUCCACCAGGACACUGCGGGGGCCUCGUCCCAAGAGGAGGAGUAUUUAUCUGUAUUCAUGUGUCAGGCACACAUCGACCUGGGCCUCCUUCUGGUUCCAAGAACACUUGUAAACCAAGUGGUCUUCGACCUGCCCAUGGAGCAGGUGGAAGAGAUUCUAGGUGAGUUCUAGGCGGGGCACGCUCCACCCGGCCCUCUCGGGCAAGCUUCUCCACCUCCCGCGCUCCCGGCCGCGGGUACAGUCGUUUACCCGCGCCCAGAGCAGUCCGGCCUGCUCCCUCCCCGUUGGGCUCACAACCCAGGCGCCAAAUCCUGCACUUCAAGCAACUGACCGAGAUCCCGCUGCAAAUGCAGACUCUGGACCCCAUGGGCCUGGCCGGGAUCUUGAUUUUCCUGCCGCCCUAGCGACAAGUUCAGUCCACUGUCCUUGGCAGAAGGAGGCAACUGCUCCUCGCCGGAACGUGGGAAAGGGCUGCGUGCUUCAGGCCUCUGGGCAAGUUCGAGGACGAGGACAGAUGAUCUCCAUGAUGAUAGAACAAAAAGGGCAAGCAGAUCUUGCAACACAGUUGACCAUGAAGACAGAGAAGCAAUCUCCAAGCAGUGAAGAUCUGGGUUUUCAGCCAUCCCUGAAUUCACCUACCUCCAGCACAUGAGAGAAUGGUCAAAAGCAGGGACCAGGAGUUUAAAUAUACAGACAACGGCCAGACCAAAUAUAAAAACAGAAUUCUGAUUCACAUUCUGCAGCACUCAGUCCAGGAAGGCAAACAAUGCCUAUGACAAUCAACACAAGAGGCCAGGACUUGAUUAAUGACUGACAGCUUCACUCAUUUUCCUUUAGGAUCAACUGAGACCCAGCUGGGAAAGUCAAAUAUGCACCCCUACUCAAUCACAUACAAUGCUCUGCUUCCAGUUAGCCUACCUACAGUUUCCCCAGGCCAACACCUCUUCCUUCAGGCAUACCUUUUUUCCAUUUUAUAUAAACUUUUCCCUCUCCUCUGCCUGCUUUUGAGACUCUGCCAACACAAAUGAUGGUAGCUAACUCCCUUGCUAUAGCAACCUCUUAAUAAAAAGCCUUCACUUGUUCCCAUUUGGGUGAUCUUUAUUUUCCCACAAGAUAAUCCAUGAGUUGAUAUUUUUUGAAGUUGUGGGACUAGUAUUAUUGAUCAUUCAUUUAUGCUAUCCUCUCUACCUUUGUAUAUGUUUGAAAUUUCCCACAAUAAAAAAUUUAAAAUAUUUCAAAAAUGUCAGGGUCAUUAAACAAUAACAACAGCAGAGACUGAUUCUAUAUUAGCUAAAAGUACAUUAUCGGAAAAAAACUGGGAAAUCGAAGUUGGAUCAUAUAUUAGACAAGAGGUUAGACUAAUGUUAAAUUUUCUGAGUGAACAAUUUUACAUGGUUACAUAGGAGAAUGUCCUUGCUUUUAAGAGGUAAUGAUGAAAUACUUAAGAUAAAGUCAUGAUGCCUGCCACUUACAGACAUUCCAUGAAAAAGGUCAAGAGAGAAAAUAAACAAAACAUUAACAACUGGUGAAACUCAAUGAAAGGUAC